AGCAGCAGCAAAGAAUUAUCACAGGAAGGAGUUUCAGGUGGUCAUGAUGAUCCAAUAUAGGGUUUGUUUAUUCAGUGUCAAUCUCCUCAACCCAUCUAUAGACCGUAUAGGUCAACUUGUUAGCCUAGACGAUGCAGAUCGUGUAGAGAUAUCUAAGAUCUUUCACUGUGACGGUUUACUGUUAUGCAUCACCAAAGAUAGAUCUAGUCUUGUUGUUUGGAACCCUUAUACGGCGCAAACCAGGUGGAUCAAACCCAUGAAUUCUUACCACAAGUUUUAUGACCGGUACGCUCUGGGAUACGAGAAGAAGGACAAGUACUCGCUUCGUAGCUACAAAGUCUUGCGAUUUCUAGAUAAUUACGGCUCCAGGGCUAAUGUGAAGCUUCGUGAGUUUGAAAUUUACGAUUUAAAUUCUGCUUCAUGGAAGGCUGUUGAUGUCAAUCCGGACUGGGAUAUAGAGUAUCAUCAGCGUGGUGUGUCUCUCAUGGGCAACACUUACUGGUUUGCUCAAGAGAAGCGUCCACCUGUAGGAAUGCGAGGACCUAUAUCGGCCAUCCCUGAUUUCUUACUAUGUUUUAAUUUUACAACUGAGAAAUUUGGACCUCGUCUGCGUCUGCCUUUUCACGCUAUUUAUGGAGAUACUGUGACUCUAUCUAGUGUCAGAGAAGAGCAUCUUGCGGUUCUUUUUCAACAAUGUGGUGCACCUGCAUCUACCGUCAAAAUAUGGAUUAGUAGCAAGAUUGAUCCCGAUGCGGUCUCUUGGAACAAGUUGUUCUUGAAGUUUGAUAUGAAACCACACACCGGUUUUGGUUCUCAGUUUCUGGUUACAGGUGGGAGUUUCUUCGUCGACGAAAAGAAGAAGGUCGCAGUGAUUCUUGAGAAAGACAGAGGUAAAUCUCUUCCCACUCGCAACAUAGCUUAUAUCAUUGGAAAGAAAGGAUACUUCAAAAAAGUGGAUCUUGGCGAGUCUAUAGAGCCACGUUGUUGGCCACUUGUGUGCUCGUAUGUGCCAAGCUCAGUGCAAAUCAAGCAAGCUGCACCACCCUAAUCUAUCAACUUGUAUUUCUCGUGUUUUGUAUCUCGACAAUGGUUGGUUUCUCAAUAUGGCCUCUGUUUUCUUUACUCUGUUCAUCUUUCAGUUUUAGUUAACGGAUAUCGUAUCCAAAUACCCAAGUGAUCAAAGUCUACAUUAUAUUUUAGCAUUGCUAAUUAGUUGAAAUUGAAAACAAUGGGGCUAUUUCUAUGUUAUUUAAAAUCUUCUUUUGAAAACACGAAAUUUGAUACUAUUAUACUACUAAAAUUAAGUAAAAGCUACUGCAUAAUGCAUAAGCAAAUGUGUUAAUCUUCUGGUCGUUAACGAAAAAUUUGCCUUUCAUUGUGGUUCUCGAGUCUUGACCAAAAAGGCUACUGGAUUAUGUUCUUACUUUGAGACUUUAUCACAAUAAAUAUAUAAAUCUAAGAUCAAUGACACCACCACAAAUACUCUUUUCUGAUCUUAAAAUAGGUAACUGCUAGCUAGUGUUUACUCGUUCUCCUUUAUCUUCGCAAACUGUUUCACUCCGGUGGAAUAGGAUGAGAUCAUGAAGUGCCUAUUAUGUGACCAUGAGGAAACAAAACCCUUGUCAUAUAUCCGGAAGAAAUCAGAACAAGAGCUAAAGGGUUUCUUGAAACACAAGGACCACGAUGAUAUCCAAUCUUCCAAGGGAUUUGGCGGAGGAGGUGCUCUCUAGGCUUCCGGUGACAUCACUGAGAGGAGUGCGAUCUACAUGCAAAACCGGAGCUUUACAAUGAAGCACGUCGGUAAAGCAAAAGCAGCAGCAAAGAAUUAUCACAGAGAGCAGUUUCAGGUGGUCAUGAUGUUUUGAUUUUACAAUGGAGAGAUUUGGACCGCGUCUUCCUCUGCCUUUUCAUGCUUUUAAUGGAGAUACUGUGACUGUAUCUAGUGUCAGAGAAGAGCAUCUUGCGGUUCUAUUUCAACAAUAUGGUGCACCUGCAUUUACCGUGAAGAUAUGGAUUAGUAGCAAGAUUGAGCC
RNAcentral lists this long non-coding RNA (2033 nucleotides) under Capsella grandiflora. RNAcentral's name for it is "long non-coding RNA (CGRA_LNC001729)". The record is from RNAcentral. Lineage: Eukaryota; Viridiplantae; Streptophyta; Magnoliopsida; Brassicales; Brassicaceae.